Molecule: transfer RNA, 73 nt
Filed under: Orbicella faveolata
Lineage: Eukaryota; Metazoa; Cnidaria; Anthozoa; Scleractinia; Merulinidae
Description: tRNA-Gly
Rfam family: tRNA
About the family: Transfer RNA (tRNA) molecules are approximately 80 nucleotides in length.
Source: RNAcentral
GACCGGUUAGCUCAGUUGGUAGAGCGUCGGACUACCAUGCGGGAGGUCUCGGGUUCGAGUCCCAGACCGGACC